UACGUAGGGGGCAAGCGUUGUCCGGAAUCAUUGGGCGUAAAGAGCGUGUAGGCGGUCCGGUAAGUCGGCUGUGAAAGUCCAGGGCUCAACCCUGGGAUGCCGGUCGAUACUGCCGGACUAGAGUUCGGAAGAGGCGAGUGGAAUUCCAGGUGUAGCGGUGAAAUGCGUAGAUAUCUGGAGGAACACCGGUGGCGAAGGCGGCAUCCUGGACCAACACUGACGCUGAGGAGCGAAAGCCAGGGGAGCAAACGGG
Molecule: ribosomal RNA, 253 nt
Filed under: uncultured bacterium
Lineage: Bacteria
Description: partial 16S ribosomal RNA
Rfam family: Bacterial small subunit ribosomal RNA
Source: RNAcentral